Syngnathus acus (greater pipefish) is the source of this 694-nucleotide long non-coding RNA. RefSeq lists it as uncharacterized. The record is from RefSeq and is a predicted model, not a curated record. NCBI's taxonomy places the organism in Eukaryota, Metazoa, Chordata, Actinopteri, Syngnathiformes, Syngnathidae. The transcript has 2 exons.
AUGUUUGAAGAGGCUGCAGGACAAAGAAGGAAAUCAGGAAUGGAGAUGACUCCAUGCACAAGACAAGUGCUCACAAUCUGUACGCAAAGCAGAAUGUCCUCAGUUUUGCUUUGGGAACAUCACAUAACCUAACCCAGAGAACAGGAACAUUUCAAAGAGAUGUUGGCUGCUAGGAGUGGAAAGCCGCACACAUCGUCUGUCUGCGUGCCUUCAAAAACACAUUGUGGACAAAAGCAUGGCGACCAUUUUAAAAGGCGAGGAUUUACGAGAAGUGGCUUAUAUCCAAAUGCAGUACUUUAGGUUGAUUAAAUAUGCUCUGAUGAAAUUGGUAUUAAAAUCUGUCUUUUUUUUUGCUGCAAAAUUUUGUUUUAUAGUUUGUAAAAUGGCAACACUGAGGCAGUGUUUUGAUUACUAAACUGUUUUUUCAGGUGAAGAAGUUUCAAAUCAAAUUCUCCACUUCCUCUUGCCUCAGAAAGAAACAAUUACGUAGCUCAUGUUAAACAUUUAAGCUUUUCCGUAGACUAUUUCCAGCAUGUAAUAUAGACGAUUAUAGAGCCUCAAUGCUCAGUCCAAAAAAUCAAUGUGAUAUCUGCUUGUGUCAGGCCAAUCUAAUAAUAAUAGGGUGUCUAUUGUCAUAUUAAAUGCCAUAUCGAUUCAGUCUUUUUGUUACAUAUAAUAAAUCUUUGCACCCGUG